GUUGAUUCGGUGAUAAUUCAAGUUGAAUAUUGAGGAAGCAUUCCAGUUCCUCCAACUUUUAAUAGUUCAUAUCUUCAAAACGAUGAGAUGUAAAAAAAUAUUUGCGAUUCCUCGUGGACCAUUUUCGGACUGAAAUCUACAAUGGAGCAAAAUUAUUGUGCUUAUCUGGUCCUUAUUUUGGGAUGUAUUUGGAGCAUGAAAUUAGCGAACUGGGAAGCUUCAUCUAUAAAAAUCCAUCAGUUGUCAUGGGUAGCUCCACUUCAUCUAUAGCUAGCAAAAGACUUCUUUUUGCUCCAUUACUCUUUGGACUCGAGAGGACUUUUAUGACCAUGACUUUUUGGUUUGAUAUAUCUUAUAAUGGUGGUGCUUCUUCUCUCCAAAUCAAUGCCUACUACAAUACUUGCCCUGAAGUUGAAAGAAUCAUUUAUUCAAAGGUCCACGAAUGGCUGCAUCGCUUCUUCAUCUCCAUUUCCAUGAUUGUUUUGUUAAUCCGUUGUAGGGUUGCGAUGCUUCUGUGUUGUUGGAUGAUACAACUGGGUUUGAUGGAGAAAAGACUGCAGUACCCAACUUGAAUUCUCUGAGAGGGUUUGAAGUGGUUGAUGCAAUAAAAUCUGAACUUGAAUCUAUAUGUCCUUAGACUGCUUCCUGUGCUGACAUUCUUGCUACUGCUGCAAGAGACUCCGUUGUUCUGUUCGGUGGACCGGGUUGGGAUGUGCUGAUGGGUAGAAAGGAAAGCUUGACUGCUAGGAAAACAGAUGCCAACAACAACAUUCCAGCCCCAAAUUCAGACUUAAACACACUCAUCACCAAAUUCCAAAACGUUGGACUCGGCUCGACCCGACCGACAUGGUGCGCACACCAUCGGCAAGCUAGGUGUUCAUCCUUUAGCUCCAGUCUUCAAGGCCGUAGUACUCGCAACUCCGAUGGACAAAGGUUAUUUUGUUAAACUGAGAACACUAUUUUAAAUGGCAGAAUGAAGAAAUACUAAGACAAAAAUUAUCUUGUCUACAUCUCCAAAAUCUACCUUUUUGGGUUUUCUGUUCAUAUCUAGGAAGGGUAAUAGAGUGACUGACAAACUAGAAAAAGGAAGCAAGGAAGUCUGGCCGGAAUCAAGACUGGAACUCCAACACUUUAAUGUUAUACCUUAAAGUUUUUAUUUACAUAUAGACUUAAUAUAGAGAUCUAAAAGAGAGACUCAGAUUUUCAAAAUUAUCACAAUGAUUGCUCCUCUCAAAACUAAAGUUACAAAGGAGAUUCCUAAGUUGUUUUGGUUUUUCUCAGAUGAAAGUUGUGACGUUUCCGCUUCACACAAAGGAGAUUUUGGUUUGUAUACCCGCAAACACGAAUUCUCAGGUGAUGUGCAUCUGCGCCAUUGACGUGUUACAAUUGUUGAGAUGUAGAUCUGAAUAAUUGGUUUAAGUUUUGAGGGUGUAUUUAGAUCUGAUUAUGGUAGUAUUUGUAAAUCUACUUCAUCUGUAAAUGUUGUUAGUUUAUUCUGAAUCUGAUUAGUCCUCUGUUAAAUGAUAAGAAUCAAUCUCAGUUGGAUUAGUCCUACUAGUUUAUUCUUAUAAUUUUCUCAGUCUUUCUUCUUUUAUAUAUCAAGAUUUCUACAUACACAGAAAAAUAGUUUUGUACUAGCCAUGGAGAACCAAAAUGUGGAUGAUGGUUUAUUAGGGUUUUUACCCAUAAACCUACCAAACCGGGCCAAAACCGAUUUGAAUCUAUCAUAGCCGUGGAAUUAUGUCUAUUUGAUCCUAUCCAUCCAUGGAGACUAUAAAAAUCCCUAAACCUAAAACAAAUGUGUAGUAGGGUUUGGGUUGCAUAAUAGGUGCAUGUAAAAUUAUACUCCUCAUGGACCAUUUUCAGACUGAUGAUUACAAUUGAGCAAAAUCACUCUGCUAUCUGGUCUUUAUAAUGUGAUGAAUGUUGCUAGUACCUAAAUAUAAUUUUUCGUUCUGCCUAUCUUUUUAUCCUAUUUCUAAACUUGGUAAAGCACAAUUUAUUCAAGGACUGUCAAUCAGAAAGUCAUA
Papaver somniferum (opium poppy) is the source of this 2030-nucleotide long non-coding RNA. RefSeq lists it as uncharacterized. NCBI's taxonomy places the organism in Eukaryota, Viridiplantae, Streptophyta, Magnoliopsida, Ranunculales, Papaveraceae. The record is from RefSeq and is a predicted model, not a curated record. The transcript is spliced from 7 exons.